RNAcentral lists this ribosomal RNA (266 nucleotides) under Salmonella enterica subsp. enterica serovar Kentucky. Its description in RNAcentral is "partial 16S ribosomal RNA". It matches the Rfam family "Bacterial small subunit ribosomal RNA", at positions 1 to 265 of the family's 1533-position model. Lineage: Bacteria; Pseudomonadati; Pseudomonadota; Gammaproteobacteria; Enterobacterales; Enterobacteriaceae. The record is from RNAcentral.
AAAUUGAAGAGUUUGAUCAUGGCUCAGAUUGAACGCUGGCGGCAGGCCUAACACAUGCAAGUCGAACGGUAGCACAGAGAGCUUGCUCUCGGGUGACGAGUGGCGGACGGGUGAGUAAUGUCUGGGAAACUGCCCGAUGGAGGGGGAUAACUACUGGAAACGGUAGCUAAUACCGCAUAACGUCGCAAGACCAAAGUGGGGGACCUUCGGGCCUCACACCAUCGGAUGUGCCCAGAUGGGAUUAGCUAGUAGGUGGGGUAACGGCU